This 1030-nucleotide long non-coding RNA is filed under the name Phasianus colchicus (ring-necked pheasant). RNAcentral's name for it is "lncRNA (ENSPCLG00000000710.1)". The record is from RNAcentral. Lineage: Eukaryota; Metazoa; Chordata; Aves; Galliformes; Phasianidae.
GACAGUUGAGUCAUAAUGCCUAGAUCAUUGUGAACUCUUUUUCCACCCGGGGGCACGUAUGACCAUUCUGGAAUCAAAGCUUACCUUAGGAAAUCCUGAGGGGCCUUAUGCUGGUCAUACUUGACUGUCUUUUGCAGAUCUUAGAAUUAAUCCAAUUGGAAUUAAAUUAAAUUGCAAUUACCAUUUGAUUUAAUUGCAGUUAAAUUAUAUGUAGGCUAAGUAGCAAAAAUGAGGUAAUGUCAUUCUCAACAGACCUUGGGGAAAAAAGUUGGAAAUGACCUUUUCCACUGUGAAUGAUACAAGCAGCCUCAUUAUUACAGUCUGCUCCGUAGACUUCUGGGAGAUUACUGACUUCUCGGAAAGAAGAAAUUUUGAGGAUAAAGAAACUAUUUUGGAUCAGAAAUGGUGUAUCAAACUGUGUUAUUGAUGAAGAUGUUAAACGGUGAAAAUCCUUCCAAACAGCAAGAAUAGAUGGCCUCUGCUGUGCCUGCAGCUUUCCACUUGAGAGACACAGCUUAACUGGUCCAUAGUUGGCCAAAAGGACAUGCCUGUGGGAUCACAGAAAGUAAGGCUGAAGGAGUUGAGAGAUGCUACAAGUCAUCCUUUCCAUCCACAAAGAAGAACAGCUAAAUCUUGUCCUUUUCCUCACAUUCCUUCAUCUGAAUGUUCCUGGGAACAAGGCAAGAGCAGUCCCUAUUUGCUGAGAGUGUUCCAGAUGAAGAGAUACUCUGGGAUGGAGGGAAGCAUCUCCCCAUGCUUUUCCAGGUUGUUACACUUUACUCUGAGGAAGUAAAUGGAGUUCUGGCACUUACAGCUGAUUUCUGUUCUCUGCUUUAUGAAAGAUUAAAAGAAUGUGAAGAAUUAAAUCAAAUUGCUUAACUCUCUGUAUUUUCUAAGUAGUCUGUCAAGUAACUUUGCAAUCAAAUGCAAUUUCUCUGCUUUCGAGUUCCAACUUUGUGUACCUUUGUGUUCUAACUAGUGUCUGACAAAUCACCUUUCUAAGGUUCAUGUCAUUCUGCCUAGUCAGUGG